CGCUGGCGGCGUGCUUAACACAUGCAAGUCGAACGGGAUCCUGCAAGCUUGCUUGCGGGUGAGAGUGGCGAACGGGUGAGUAAUGCGUGACCAACCUGCCCCAUGCUCCGGAAUAGCUCCUGGAAACGGGUGGUAAUGCCGGAUGUGCCGGGCUCCUGCAUGGGGGUCCGGGAAAGCUCUGGCGGCGUGGGAUGGGGUCGCGUCCUAUCAGCUUGUUGGCGGGGUGAGGGCCCACCAAGGCUUCGACGGGUAGCCGGCCUGAGAGGGCGACCGGCCACAUUGGGACUGAGAUACGGCCCAGACUCCUACGGGAGGCAGCAGUGGGGAAUAUUGCACAAUGGGCGCAAGCCUGAUGCAGCGACGCCGCGUGCGGGAUGGAGGCCUUCGGGUUGUAACCGCUUUUGUUGGGAGCAAGCCCUUCGGGGUGAGUGUACCUUUCGAAUAAGCACCGGCUAACUACGUGCCAGCAGCCGCGG
RNAcentral lists this ribosomal RNA (476 nucleotides) under Bifidobacterium adolescentis. Its description in RNAcentral is "bacterial SSU rRNA". It matches the Rfam family "Bacterial small subunit ribosomal RNA", at positions 34 to 520 of the family's 1533-position model. The record is from RNAcentral. Lineage: Bacteria; Bacillati; Actinomycetota; Actinomycetes; Bifidobacteriales; Bifidobacteriaceae.